Molecule: transfer RNA, 72 nt
Filed under: Bos taurus (domestic cattle)
Lineage: Eukaryota; Metazoa; Chordata; Mammalia; Artiodactyla; Bovidae
Also listed under: 5 other names
Rfam family: tRNA
About the family: Transfer RNA (tRNA) molecules are approximately 80 nucleotides in length. Their secondary structure includes four short double-helical elements and three loops (D, anti-codon, and T loops).
Source: Rfam by way of RNAcentral
UCCCUUAUGGCUCAGCUGUAAAGAAUCCACCUGUAAUGUGGGAGACUCUGGGUUCAAUUCCCGGGUUGGGAA